AACGAACGCUGGCGGCAUGCCUAACACAUGCAAGUCGAACGAUACCUUCGGGUCUAGUGGCGCACGGGUGCGUAACGCGUGGGAACCUGCCCUUAGGUUCGGACUAACUCCCCGAAAGGGGUGCUAAUACCGGAUACUGUCUUCGGACCAAAGAUUUAUCGCCUUUGGAUGGGCCCGCGUUGGAUUAGCUAGUUGGUAGGGUAAAAGCCUACCAAGGCGACGAUCCCUAGCUGGUCUGAGAGGAUGAUCAGCCACACUGGGACUGAGACACGGCCCAGACUCCUACGGGAGGCAGCAGUGGGGAAUAUUGGACAAUGGGCGAAAGCCUGAUCCAGCAAUGCCGCGUGAGUGAUGAAGGCCUUAGGGUUGUAAAGCUCUUUUACCCGGGAUGAUAAUGACAGUACCGGGAGAAUAAGCUCCGGCUAACUCCGUG
Molecule: ribosomal RNA, 433 nt
Filed under: uncultured bacterium
Lineage: Bacteria
Description: partial 16S ribosomal RNA
Rfam family: Bacterial small subunit ribosomal RNA
Source: RNAcentral